Molecule: RNase P RNA, 339 nt
Filed under: Anaerotignum sp.
Lineage: Bacteria; Bacillati; Bacillota; Clostridia; Lachnospirales; Anaerotignaceae
Description: RNase P RNA component class A
Rfam family: Bacterial RNase P class A
About the family: Ribonuclease P (RNase P) is a ubiquitous endoribonuclease, found in archaea, bacteria and eukarya as well as chloroplasts and mitochondria. Its best characterised activity is the generation of mature 5'-ends of tRNAs by cleaving the 5'-leader elements of precursor-tRNAs.
Source: RNAcentral
UGAGUAAGUCGGACAGUCGCGCCAACUUUAGUUGGUGAGGAAAGUCCGGGCUUCGCAGAGCAGGGUGCCGGCUAACGGCCGGUGGAGGCGACUCUAAGGAUAGUGCAACAGAAAUAGACCGCCAGUCUUUGGCUGGUAAGGAUGGAAAGGUGAGGUAAGAGCUCACCGCCGGGGCAGUAAUGUCACGGGUCCCUGUAAACCCCACCCGAAGCAAGACAAACUGAAACUAUGGGGCUGCUCGUUCCGUUUCGAAAAAGUCGCAUGAUGCCGCUGGCAACAGCGGACCAAGAUAGAUGGCUGUCUGAAAAACAGAACCCGGCUUACAGGCUUGCUCUCAUU